AUGCACACUUCGGCAGCACAUAUACUAAAAUUGGAAUGAUACAGAGAAGAUUAGCAUGGCCCCUGCGCAAAUAUGACAUGUAGAUUCGUGAAGCGUUUUAUAUUAAA
Molecule: small nuclear RNA, 107 nt
Organism: Marmota marmota marmota (Alpine marmot)
Lineage: Eukaryota; Metazoa; Chordata; Mammalia; Rodentia; Sciuridae
Source: Ensembl